RNAcentral lists this ribosomal RNA (253 nucleotides) under uncultured bacterium. RNAcentral's name for it is "partial 16S ribosomal RNA". It matches the Rfam family "Bacterial small subunit ribosomal RNA", at positions 524 to 776 of the family's 1533-position model. The record is from RNAcentral. RNAcentral also lists the same sequence under 1 other name.
UACAGAGGGUGCAAGCGUUGCUCGGAAUUAUUGGGCGUAAAGGGUAGGUAGGUGGUCUCAUUUGUCUGGGGUGAAAUCCUUGGGCUUAACCCAAGAAGUGCCCCAGAAACGGUGAGACUGGAGUCCUGGAGAGGGUCGUGGAAUUCCCGGUGUAGCGGUGAAAUGCGUAGAGAUCGGGAGGAACACCAGAGGCGAAGGCGGCGACCUGGACAGGUACUGACACUCAACUACGAAAGCGUGGGGAGCAAACAGG